GGGCGUCCCUACACAUGCAAGUCGAACGAGAAAGUGGAGCAUCCAUGAGUAAAGUGGCGCACGGGUGAGUAACACGUGACUAACCUACCCUUGAGUGGGGGAUAACCUAGGGAAACCUGGGCUAAUACCGCAUAAUACCUUCGGGUCAAAGGAGCAAUUCGCUUAAGGAGGGGGUCGCGGCCGAUUAGUUAGUUGGCGGGGUAAUGGCCCACCAAGACUGUGAUCGGUAUCCGGCCUGAGAGGGCGCACGGACACACUGGAACUGAAACACGGUCCAGACUCCUACGGGAGGCAGCAGUGGGGAAUUUUGCGCAAUGGGGGAAACCCUGACGCAGCAACGUCGCGUGGAGGAUGAAGUCCCUUGGGACGUAAACUCCUUUCGAUCGGGACGAUUAUGACGGUACCGGAAGAAGAAGCCCCGGCUAACUUCGUGCCAGCAGCCGCGGUAAUACGAGGGGGGCGAGCGUUGUUCGGAAUUAUUUGGGCGUAAAGGGUGCGUAGGCGGUUUGGUAAGUCUUGUGUGAAAUCUUCGGGCUCAACUCGAAGUCUGCAUGAGAAACUGCCGGGCUUGAGUAUGGGAGAGGUGAGUGGAAUUCCCGGUGUAAGCCGGUGAAAUGCGUAGAUUCGGGAGGAACACCUGUGGCGAAAAGCGGUCCACUGGGACCAUUAACUUGGACGCUUGGAGGGCAACGGAAAAGCCUAAGGGGAGCAAACAGGGAUUAGAUAACUCUUGGUAAGUCCCAACGCCGUUAAAACCGAUGGAUGGCUAAGCCGU
This 775-nucleotide ribosomal RNA is filed under the name uncultured bacterium. Its description in RNAcentral is "bacterial SSU rRNA". It matches the Rfam family "Bacterial small subunit ribosomal RNA", at positions 40 to 828 of the family's 1533-position model. The record is from RNAcentral.